AACGAACGCUGGCGGCAUGCCUAACACAUGCAAGUCGAACGAUUCUUUCGUGUCUAGUGGCUCACGUCUGCUUGACGCGUGGGAACCUGCCCUUAGGUUCGCACUAACUUCCCGUACCGGUUGCUAGUACCUGAUACUGUCUUCGAACUACGGAUUUAUCGACUUUGUUUGUGCCCGCUUUGGUUUAGCUGGUUGGUAGGGUCAAGGCCUACCAAGGCGACGAUCCAUAGCUGGUCUGAGAGGUUGAGCAGACACACCGGGGCUGGGACACGGCACAGACUCUUACGGGAGGCAGGAGUGGGGAAUAGUGGAAAAUGGGGGAAGGGCUGAUGCAGCAAUGAUGGGUGAGUGAUGAAGGUAGUAGGGUUGUAAAGCGCUUGUAACCGAGAGGAUAAUGACAGUACCGGGAGAAUAAGCUACGGCUAACUCCGUG
Molecule: ribosomal RNA, 433 nt
Filed under: uncultured bacterium
Lineage: Bacteria
Description: partial 16S ribosomal RNA
Rfam family: Bacterial small subunit ribosomal RNA
Source: RNAcentral